RNAcentral lists this non-coding RNA (26 nucleotides) under Homo sapiens (human). The record is from RNAcentral. Lineage: Eukaryota; Metazoa; Chordata; Mammalia; Primates; Hominidae.
UCCAAGAGCCAGACAUUAAUACAGAU